GCGCACCAGGCGCGAAAACUUUACAAUGUGCGAAAGCACGAUAAGGGAACUCUGAGUGCCUCCUAAGGAGGCUGUUCAGGUGUCUAAAAAGCACCUGGAGUAAGGGCUGGGUAAGACCGGUGCCAGCCGCCGCGGUAACACCGGCAGCCCAGGUGGUAGCCACUUUUAUUGGGUCUAAAGCGUCCGUAGCCGGUUGAGUAAGUUCCUUGGGAAAUUUGGCUGCUCAACAGUCAAGCUUCCAGGGAAUACUGCUCGACUUGGGACUGGGAGAGGUCAGAGGUACUCCAGGGGUAGGGUGAAAUCCAUUAAUCCCCUGGGGGACCACCGGUAGCGAAGGCGUCUGACCAGACCAGGGUCCGACGGUGAGGGACGAAGGCUAGGGUCGCGAACCGGAUUAGAUA
This 401-nucleotide ribosomal RNA is filed under the name uncultured microorganism. Its description in RNAcentral is "bacterial SSU rRNA". It matches the Rfam family "Archaeal small subunit ribosomal RNA", at positions 330 to 735 of the family's 1478-position model. The record is from RNAcentral.